Molecule: ribosomal RNA, 446 nt
Filed under: uncultured bacterium
Lineage: Bacteria
Description: bacterial SSU rRNA
Rfam family: Bacterial small subunit ribosomal RNA
Source: RNAcentral
UGCCAGACUCCUACGGGAGGCAGCAGUGGGGAAUAUUGCACAAUGGGGGAAACCCUGAUGCAGCGACGCCGCGUGAGCGAUGAAGUAUUUCGGUAUGUAAAGCUCUAUCAGCAGGGAAGAAAAUGACGGUACCUGACUAAGAAGCCCCGGCUAACUACGUGCCAGCAGCCGCGGUAAUACGUAGGGGGCAAGCGUUAUCCGGAUUUACUGGGUGUAAAGGGAGCGUAGACGGUCCUGCAAGCCAGAUGUGAAAGCCCGGGGCUCAACCCCGGGACUGCAUUUGAAACUGUCAGGCUGGAGUGCAGGAGAGGUAAGUGGAAUUCCUAGUGUAGCGGUGAAAUGCGUAGAUAUUAGGAGGAACACCAGUGGCGAAGGCGGCUUACUGGACUGUAACUGACGUUGAGGCUCGAAAGCGUGGGGAGCAAACAGGAUUAGAUACCCCAGUA